GCCUUCGUGGUGUAGUGGUCAGCACUCUCGCCGCGAAUUCGAGAGAUCCGUGGUUCGAGUCCCGGCAGGGCA
This 72-nucleotide transfer RNA is filed under the name Stegodyphus mimosarum. It matches the Rfam family "tRNA". Rfam says of the family: Transfer RNA (tRNA) molecules are approximately 80 nucleotides in length. The record is from Rfam by way of RNAcentral. Lineage: Eukaryota; Metazoa; Arthropoda; Arachnida; Araneae; Eresidae.